Molecule: ribosomal RNA, 466 nt
Filed under: uncultured bacterium
Lineage: Bacteria
Description: partial 16S ribosomal RNA
Rfam family: Bacterial small subunit ribosomal RNA
Source: RNAcentral
GAUGAACGCUGGCGGCGUGCUUAACACAUGCAAGUCGAACGGAAAGGCCCAAGCUUUCUUGGGUACUCGAGUGGCGAACGGGUGAGUAACACGUGGGUGAUCUGCCCUGCACUUCGGGAUAAGCCUGGGAAACUGGGUCUAAUACCGGAUAGGACCACAUUUUGGAUGGUGUGGUGGAAAGUUUUUCGGUGUGGGAUGAGCUCGCGGCCUAUCAGCUUGUUGGUGGGGUAAUGGCCUACCAAGGCGUCGACGGGUAGCCGGCCUGAGAGGGUGUACGGCCACAUUGGGACUGAGAGACGGCCCAGACUCCGACGGGAGGCAGCAGUGGGGAAUAUUGCACAAUGGGCGCAAGCCUGAUGCAGCGACGCCGCGUGGGGGAUGACGGCCUUCGGGUUGGAAACUCCGUUCGCUAGGGACGAAGCGUUAUGUGACGGUACCUGGAGAAGAAGCACCGGCUAACUACGUG